Molecule: long non-coding RNA, 836 nt
Filed under: Brassica napus (rape)
Lineage: Eukaryota; Viridiplantae; Streptophyta; Magnoliopsida; Brassicales; Brassicaceae
Description: long non-coding RNA (BNAP_LNC020256)
Source: RNAcentral
GGAGUGGCCUUGGUGGAACCAGCACGUGAUUGGCUCAUCUUGGUCUUUGGACAGGCUGUCACAAGCUGUAAAAGGAAGAGCAAGUUGGACUAUGUACCUGGACUGAUCUAUGGACUGAUUCAGGUGUAAUGUUGGUGCAUUCAUAGCCAAGUAUUCUCUCCUCCAAUCACCAGCCACUACUCAGAUUGCCAAGACCUCCAAGACCUGAUCCAAGUCGUCCAUUUCAAACCAGACAAUCCCCACUGUCCAUCUCUUAUCCUUAGAUUAGGGUUUAUUAGUUACAACUUGUAUUUUCCUAUAAAAAGACCCUUAAGGGGCAUUUGUAACUUUUAAGAGAGUUAGGGGGAUUUCCCCUUCUCCUUCAUAGUCUUUGGUUACUUUGAAUCUCCCAAUCUCUAUUCUCGGGUUACUUAAUCUCUCAGUCUCUCUAAUCUCUCAAUCUCUCACCCAAAGUCUCUUAAUCUCACACCAUUCUUAUUCUUCCAUCAGUCUCCUAAUCUCACGCCAUUCUUAUUCUUCCAUCAGUCUCUUUGUUAUUCUCUUCCAUUGUUGAACAAGACUCAGUCCCAACCUGUGGAGGUUGAUUCACCACGCCCACACACAGCCUGUGCUCUGAAAACCUCACAAUUUAUUCCACUUCCUGGUGAUUAUCCACUAAUUUAUGUAUCCAAAUACUGCUUCUUACAUCGAGAUUCAUCCUGGUUUGAUCAGAAUGACGAGGAAGUUGUCAUAUUCCCAAACAGGAAAACUGGGAUCACCUGAUUUGAAAGUGGGAUAACUUCUUCAUCCUAAUUCCUAUGAGAAUUAUUCCACUUCCUGGUGAUUCUCCACUACUU